Molecule: ribosomal RNA, 326 nt
Filed under: uncultured bacterium
Lineage: Bacteria
Description: partial 16S ribosomal RNA
Rfam family: Bacterial small subunit ribosomal RNA
Source: RNAcentral
UGGGGAAUAUUGGACAAUGGGGGCAACCCUGAUCCAGCAAUGCCGCGUGUGUGAAGAAGGUCUUCGGAUUGUAAAGCACCUUCGACGGGGACGAUGAUGACGGUACCCGUAGAAGAAGCCCCGGCUAACUUCGUGCCAGCAGCCGCGGUAAUACGAAGGGGGCUAGCGUUGCUCGGAAUGACUGGGCGUAAAGGGCGUGUAGGCGGUUUACACAGUCAGAUGUGAAAUCCCCGGGCUUAACCUGGGAGCUGCAUUUGAUACGUGUAGACUAGAGUGUGAGAGAGGGUUGUGGAAUUCCCAGUGUAGAGGUGAAAUUCGUAGAUAUU